GCGAACAGACGAGGAGCUUGCUCCUCUGACGUUAGCGGCGGACGGGUGAGUAACACGUGGAUAACCUACCUAUAAGACUGGGAUAACUUCGGGAAACCGGAGCUAAUACCGGAUAAUAUAUUGAACCGCAUGGUUCAAUAGUGAAAGACGGUUUUGCUGUCACUUAUAGAUGGAUCCGCGCCGCAUUAGCUAGUUGGUAAGGUAACGGCUUACCAAGGCAACGAUGCGUAGCCGACCUGAGAGGGUGAUCGGCCACACUGGAACUGAGACACGGUCCAGACUCCUACGGGAGGCAGCAGUAGGGAAUCUUCCGCAAUGGGCGAAAGCCUGACGGAGCAACGCCGCGUGAGUGAUGAAGGUCUUCGGAUCGUAAAACUCUGUUAUUAGGGAAGAACAAAUGUGUAAGUAACUAUGCACGUCUUGACGGUACCUAAUCAGAAAGCCACGGCUAACUACGUGCCAGCAGCCGCGGUAAUACGUAGGUGGCAAGCGUUAUCCGGAAUUAUUGGGCGUAAAGCGCGCGUAGGCGGUUUUUUAAGUCUGAUGUGAAAGCCCACGGCUCAACCGUGGAGGGUCAUUGGGAACUGGAAAACUUGAGUGCAGAAGAGGAAAGUGGAAUUCCAUGUGUAGCGGUGAAAUGCGCAGAGAUAUGGAGGAACACCAGUGGCGAAGGCGACUUUCUGGUCUGUAACUGACGCUG
This 700-nucleotide ribosomal RNA is filed under the name uncultured Staphylococcus sp. Its description in RNAcentral is "bacterial SSU rRNA". It matches the Rfam family "Bacterial small subunit ribosomal RNA", at positions 66 to 748 of the family's 1533-position model. Lineage: Bacteria; Bacillati; Bacillota; Bacilli; Caryophanales; Staphylococcaceae. The record is from RNAcentral.